ACUAUUGUCAUCACCACCAACAUGGCCAUCAUCUCUGGGUAGUGCCAGCAAGACACUUCUUGGGAACUAGGACAUGAGUUACCUCUAGCAACCUCUCAUGUGAAACUGUGUUAAGAGGGCUGUGGUUGGUCAAUCCCCUCUUAUUAUCAGUGGGCAUGGCUGACCUCACUUUCUUCCAGUCAAAGCUCAGAUGUAUCCAGGGAUCAGCAGAACCUUUCCCAGUUUGGGAGAGAAGAUUCUUCAAUUUGGAGAUGCCCAGGGCUUCAAGCUACUCUGCCUUUGCCAGAAAUUGCAGUUGUCAUAUGGAACUGCAUUUCCAGGCUGAAAUGAUCUGGCCCAGGCAGCAUUCAUUACAGGUACCGCUUGGCUGAUUCUUCCUCAUUGUGAAGGGCCCGAAUUUAGGGUCUGUUAAACUUCCUUCAUGUGUCCUAUGCCGUUCUUAUCCUGCACCAUCCUCAUCGCAACAGAC
RNAcentral lists this long non-coding RNA (469 nucleotides) under Fukomys damarensis (Damara mole-rat). RNAcentral's name for it is "lncRNA (ENSFDAG00000030706.1)". Lineage: Eukaryota; Metazoa; Chordata; Mammalia; Rodentia; Bathyergidae. The record is from RNAcentral.